CGCUGGCGGCGUGCUUAACACAUGCAAGUCGAACGAUGAAGGAGGAGCUUGCUCCUCUGGAUUAGUGGCGAACGGGUGAGUAACACGUGAGCAAUGUGCCCUUGACUCUGGAAUAAGCGCUGGAAACGGCGUCUAAUACCGGAUACGACCUUCGGAGGCAUCUCCUGGGGGUGGAAAGAAUUUCGGUCAAGGAUCAGCUCACGGCCUAUCAGUUAGUUGGUGAGGUAAUGGCUCACCAAGACGACGACGGGUAGCCGGCCUGAGAGGGUGACCGGCCACACUGGGACUGAGACACGGCCCAGACUCCUACGGGAGGCAGCAGUGGGGAAUAUUGCACAAUGGGCGCAAGCCUGAUGCAGCAACGCCGCGUGAGGGACGACGGCCUUCGGGUUGUAAACCUCUUUUAGCAGGGAAGAAGCGAGAGUGACGGUACCUGCAGAAAAAGCACCGGCUAACUACGUGCCAGCAGCCGCGGUAAUACGUAGGGUGCAAGCGUUGUCCGGAAUUAUUGGGCGUAAAGAGCUCGUAGGCGGUUUGUCACGUCUGCUGUGAAAUCCCGAGGCUCAACCUCGGGCUUGCAGUGGGUACGGGCAGACUAGAGUGCGGUAGGGGAGAUUGGAAUUCCUGGUGUAGCGGUGGAAUGCGCAGAUAUCAGGAGGAACACCGAUGGCGAAGGCAGAUCUCUGGGCCGUAACUGACGCUGAGGAGCGAAAGCAUGGGGAGCAAACAGGCUUAGAUACCCUGGUAGUCCAUGCCGUAAACGUUGGGAACUAGAUGUGGGGACCAUUCCACGGUCUCCGUGUCGUAGCUAACGCAUUAAGUUCCCCGCCUGGGGAGUACGGCCGCAAGGCUAAAACUCAAAGGAAUUGACGGGGGCCCGCACAAGCGGCGGAGCAUGCGGAUUAAUUCGAUGCAACGCGAAGAACCUUACCAAGGCUUGACAUAUGGGAGAACGCACUGGAGACAGUGAACUCUUUGGACACUCCUAUACAGGUGGUGCAUGGUUGUCGUCAGCUCGUGACGUGAGAUGUUGGGUUAAGUCCCGCAACGAGCGCAACCCUCGU
Molecule: ribosomal RNA, 1064 nt
Filed under: Agrococcus baldri
Lineage: Bacteria; Bacillati; Actinomycetota; Actinomycetes; Micrococcales; Microbacteriaceae
Description: bacterial SSU rRNA
Rfam family: Bacterial small subunit ribosomal RNA
Source: RNAcentral